UGGCCAGACUCCACGGGAGGCAGCAGUGAGGAAUAUUGGUCAAUGGUCGGGAGACUGAACCAGCCAAGCCGCGUGAGGGAUGAAGGUACAGAGUAUCGUAAACCUCUUUUGUCAGGGAACAAAGGCGGGGACGCGUCCCCGGAUGAGUGUACCUGAAGAAAAAGCAUCGGCUAACUCCGUGCCAGCAGCCGCGGUAAUACGGAGGAUCCGAGCGUUAUCCGGAUUUAUUGGGUUUAAAGGGAGCGUAGAUGGGUUGUUAAGUCAGUUGUGAAAGUUUGCGGCUCAACCGUAAAAUUGCAAUUGAUACUGGCAGUCUUGAGUACAGUUGAGGUAGGCGGAAUUCGUGGUGUAGCGGUGAAAUGCUUAGAUAUCACGAAGAACUCCGAUUGCGAAGGCAGCUUACUAAACUGCCACUGACAUUGAUGCUCGAAAGUGUGGGUAUCAAACAGGAUUAGAUACCCUUGUAAA
RNAcentral lists this ribosomal RNA (468 nucleotides) under uncultured bacterium. RNAcentral's name for it is "bacterial SSU rRNA". It matches the Rfam family "Bacterial small subunit ribosomal RNA", at positions 328 to 794 of the family's 1533-position model. The record is from RNAcentral.